ACGGAAGGCAGCAGUGAGGAAUAUUGGUCAAUGGGCGAGAGCCUGAACCAGCCAAGUCGCGUGAAGGAUGAAGGUUCUAUGGAUUGUAAACUUCUUUUGUUCGAGGGUAAAGUGAGUCACGUGUGGCUUAUUGCAAGUAUCGAACGAAUAAGCAUCGGCUAACUCCGUGCCAGCAGCCGCGGUAAUACGGAGGAUGCGAGCGUUAUCCGGAUUUAUUGGGUUUAAGGGUGCGUAGGCGGGAUGUUAAGUCAGCGGUAAAAUAGUGUAGCUCAACUAUACUUCGCCGUUGAAACUGGCGUUCUUGAGUGUAAACGAGGUAGGCGGAAUGUGACGUGUAGCGGUGAAAUGCUUAGAUAUGUCACAGAACCCCGAUUGCGAAGGCAGCUUACCAGGAUACAACUGACGCUGAGGCACGAAAGCGUGGGUAUCAAACAGGAUUAGAUACCCUGGUA
RNAcentral lists this ribosomal RNA (452 nucleotides) under uncultured Porphyromonadaceae bacterium. RNAcentral's name for it is "partial 16S ribosomal RNA". It matches the Rfam family "Bacterial small subunit ribosomal RNA", at positions 341 to 792 of the family's 1533-position model. Lineage: Bacteria; Pseudomonadati; Bacteroidota; Bacteroidia; Bacteroidales; Porphyromonadaceae. The record is from RNAcentral.